UACGUAGGGUGCAAGCGUUAUCCGGAAUUAUUGGGCGUAAAGCGUUCGUAGGCGGUUUGGAAAGUUUGUAGUUAAAUCUGGUCGCUCAACGAUCAACUUGCUAUAAAAACUCUCAAACUAGAGAUUGGCAGAGGCAACUGGAAUUCCGCAUGUAGGGGUAAAAUCCGUUGAUAUGCGGAGGAACACCAAAAGCGAAGGCAGGUUGCUGGGCCAUUUCUGACGCUGAGGAACGAAAGCGUGGGUAGCGAACAGGAUUAGAUACCCCAGUA
Molecule: ribosomal RNA, 269 nt
Filed under: uncultured prokaryote
Description: partial 16S ribosomal RNA
Rfam family: Bacterial small subunit ribosomal RNA
Source: RNAcentral